This 1567-nucleotide ribosomal RNA is filed under the name uncultured bacterium. RNAcentral describes it as "bacterial SSU rRNA". It matches the Rfam family "Bacterial small subunit ribosomal RNA". The record is from RNAcentral.
AGAGUUUGAUCCUGGCUCAGGACGAACGCUGGCGGCGUGCCUAAUACAUGCAAGUCGAGCGGACUUCUUAAAAGCUUGCUUUUAAGAAGUCAGCGGCGGACGGGUGAGUAACACGUGGGCAACCUGCCUGUAAGACUGGGAUAACUUCGGGAAACCGGAGCUAAUACCGGAUAAUAUAAGGAACCUCCUGGUUCUUUAUUGAAAGAUGGUUUCGGCUAUCACUUGCAGAUGGGCCCGCGGCGCAUUAGCUAGUUGGUGAGGUAAUGGCUCACCAAGGCAACGAUGCGUAGCCGACCUGAGAGGGUGAUCGGCCACACUGGGACUGAGACACGGCCCAGACUCCUACGGGAGGCAGCAGUAGGGAAUCUUCCACAAUGGACGAAAGUCUGAUGGAGCAACGCCGCGUGAGCGAUGAAGGCCUUCGGGUCGUAAAGCUCUGUUGUUAGGGAAGAACAAGUGCGAGAGUAACUGCUCGCACCUUGACGGUACCUAACCAGAAAGCCACGGCUAACUACGUGCCAGCAGCCGCGGUAAUACGUAGGUGGCAAGCGUUGUCCGGAAUUAUUGGGCGUAAAGCGCGCGCAGGUGGUCCUUUAAGUCUGAUGUGAAAGCCCACGGCUCAACCGUGGAGGGUCAUUGGAAACUGGGGGACUUGAGUGCAGAAGAGGAAAGUGGAAUUCCCAAGUGUAGCGGUGAAAUGCGUAAGAUUUGGAGGAACACCAGUGGCGAAAGGCCGACUUUUCUGGUCUGUAAACUGACACUGAGGGCGCGAAAAGCGUGGGGGAGGCAAACCAGGGAUUAGAAUACCCUGGGUAGUCCACCGCCCGUUAAACCGAAUUGGAGUUGGCUAAGUUGUUAAGAGGGGUUUCCGCCCUUUAGUGCUGCAGCUAACGCAUUAAGCACUCCGCCUGGGGAGUACGGUCGCAAGACUGAAACUCAAAGGAAUUGACGGGGGCCCGCACAAGCGGUGGAGCAUGUGGUUUAAUUCGAAGCAACGCGAAGAACCUUACCAGGUCUUGACAUCCUCUGACACUCCUAGAGAUAGGACGUUCCCCUUCGGGGGACAGAGUGACAGGUGGUGCAUGGUUGUCGUCAGCUCGUGUCGUGAGAUGUUGGGUUAAGUCCCGCAACGAGCGCAACCCUUGAUCUUAGUUGCCAGCAUUUAGUUGGGCACUCUAAGGUGACUGCCGGUGACAAACCGGAGGAAGGUGGGGAUGACGUCAAAUCAUCAUGCCCCUUAUGACCUGGGCUACACACGUGCUACAAUGGACGGUACAAAGGGCAGCAAAACCGCGAGGUCGAGCCAAUCCCAUAAAACCGUUCUCAGUUCGGAUUGCAGGCUGCAACUCGCCUGCAUGAAGCCGGAAUCGCUAGUAAUCGCGGAUCAGCAUGCCGCGGUGAAUACGUUCCCGGGCCUUGUACACACCGCCCGUCACACCACGAGAGUUUGUAACACCCGAAGUCGGUGGGGUAACCUUUUGGAGCCACCCGCCUAAGGUGGGACAGAUGAUUGGGGUGAAGUCGUAACAAGGUAGACCGUAUCGGAAGGUGCGGCUGGAUCACCUCC